Molecule: ribosomal RNA, 253 nt
Filed under: uncultured bacterium
Lineage: Bacteria
Description: partial 16S ribosomal RNA
Rfam family: Bacterial small subunit ribosomal RNA
Source: RNAcentral
UACGUAGGGUGCGAGCGUUAAUCGGAAUUACUGGGCGUAAAGCGUGCGCAGGCGGCUCUCCAAGUCCGUUGUGAAAGCCCCGGGCUCAACCUGGGAAUGGCAGUGGAAACUAGGGGACUGGAAUCUGGCAGAGGGGGGUGGAAUGCCGCGUGUAGCAGUGAAAUGCGUAGAGAUGCGGCGGAACACCGAUGGCGAAGGCAGCCCCCUGGGCUGAGAUUGACGCUCAGGCACGAAAGCGUGGGGAGCAAACAGG